CCUACGGGUGGCAGCAGUGGGGAAUAUUGCGCAAUGGGCGAAAGCCUGACGCAGCGACGCCGCGUGAGGGAUGAAGGUCUUCGGAUCGUAAACCUCUGUCAGCAGGGAAGAACGGUCACUGUGCUAAUCAGCAGUGAAUUGACGGUACCUGCAAAGGAAGCACCGGCUAACUCCGUGCCAGCAGCCGCGGUAAUACGGAGGGUGCGAGCGCUAAUCGGAAUUACUGGGCGUAAAGCGCUCGUAGGCGGUAUGUCAAGUCAAGGGUGAAAUCCCCGCGCUCAACGUGGGAACUGCCUUUGAAACUGGCAAACUGGAGUGUGUGAGAGGAUAGUGGAAUUCCAGGUGUAGGAGGGAAAGCCGUAGAUAUCUGGAGGAACAUCAGUGGCGAAGGCGACUAUCUGGCACAUAACUGACGCUGAGGAGCGAAAGCGUGGGUAGCAAACAGGAUUAGAUACCCCAGUAGUC
This 465-nucleotide ribosomal RNA is filed under the name uncultured bacterium. RNAcentral's name for it is "partial 16S ribosomal RNA". It matches the Rfam family "Bacterial small subunit ribosomal RNA", at positions 338 to 795 of the family's 1533-position model. The record is from RNAcentral.